UACGAAGGGGGCUAGCGUUGUUCGGAAUUACUGGGCGUAAAGCGUGACGCAGGCGGCUUCUCAAGUCAGGGGUGAAAGCCCAGAGCUCAACUCUGGAAUUGCCUUUGAGACUGAGUGGCUUGAGUACGAGAGAGGUGAGUGGAAUUCCCAGUGUAGAGGUGAAAUUCGUAGAUAUUGGGAAGAACACCGGUGGCGAAGGCGGCUCACUGGCUCGUAACUGACGCUCAUGCACGACAGCGUGGGAGUCAAACAGG
RNAcentral lists this ribosomal RNA (254 nucleotides) under uncultured bacterium. RNAcentral's name for it is "partial 16S ribosomal RNA". It matches the Rfam family "Bacterial small subunit ribosomal RNA", at positions 524 to 776 of the family's 1533-position model. The record is from RNAcentral.